UUUAGUAACAGAGAAGGAGCUUGCUCCUUCGACGUUAGCGGCGGACGGGUGCACGUGGGCAACCUACCUUAUAGUUUGGGAUAACUCCGGUUUACGGUGAAACCGGGGCUAAUACCGAAUCUGUUUCACCUCAUGGUGAAACACUGAAAGACGGUUUCGGCUGUCGCUAUUGGGCCCGCGGCGCAUUAGCUAGUUGGUGAGGUAACGGCUCACCAAGGCGACGAUGCGUAGCCGACCUGAGAGGGUGAUCGGCCACACUGGGACUGACGGUUUAGCCCCCAGACUCCUACGGGAGGCAGCAGUAGGGAAUCUUCCACAAUGGGCGAAAGCCUGAUGGAGCAACGCCGCGUGAGUGAAGAAGGAUUUCGGUUCGUAAAACUCUGUUGUAAGAAGAACAAGUACAGUAGUAACUGGCUGUACCUUGACGGUACCUUAUUAGAAAGCCACGGCUAACUACGUGCCAGCAGCCGCGGUAAUACGUAGGUGCGUUGUCCGGAAUUAUUGGGCGUAAAGCGCGCGCAGGUGGUUUCUUAUCUGAUGUGAAAGCCCACGGCUCAACCGUGGAGGGUCAUUGGAAACUGGGAGACUUGAGUGCAGAAGAGGAUAGUGGAAUUCCAAGUGUCGGUGAAAUGCGUAGAGAUUUGGAGGAACACCAGUGGCGAAGGCGACUAUCUGGUCUGUAUUUGACUACUGACACUGAGGCGCGAAAGCGUGGGGAGCAAACAGGAUUAGAUACCCUGGUAGUCCACGCCGUAAACGAUGAGUGCUAAGUGUUAGGGGGUUUCCGCCCCUUAUGCAGCUAACGCAUUAAGCACUCCGCCUGGGGAGUACGGUCGCAAGACUGAAACUCAAAGGAAUUGACGGGGGCCCGCACAAGCGGUGGAGCAUGUGGUUUAAUAAGCAACGCGAAGAACCUUACCAGGUCUUGACAUCCCGUUGACCACUGUAGAGAUAUUUCCCCUGGGCAUGUCGGGGGCAACGAGGUGGUGCAUGGUUGUCGUCAGCUCGUGUCGUGAGAUGUUGGGUUAAGUCCCGCAACGAGCGCAACCCUUGAUCUUAGUUGCCAUCAUUUAAAUUGACGUUGGGCACUCUAAGGUGACUGCCGGUGACAAACCGGAGGAAGGUGGGGAUGACGUCAAAUCAUCAUGCCCCUUAUGACCUGGGCUACACACGUGCUACAAUGGACGAUACAAACGGUUGCCAACUCGCGAGAGGGAGCUAAUCCGAUAAAGUCGUUCUCAGUUGGACGUCGUUGUAGGCUGCAACUCGCCUACAUGAAGCCGGAAUCGCUAGUAAUCGCGGCAUCCCAGUGCCGCGGUGAAUACGUUCCCGGGCCUUGUACACACCGCCCACCACGAGAGUUUGUAACAGGGCAUG
This 1377-nucleotide ribosomal RNA is filed under the name Lysinibacillus sp. IGCAR-22/08. RNAcentral's name for it is "bacterial SSU rRNA". It matches the Rfam family "Bacterial small subunit ribosomal RNA". The record is from RNAcentral. Lineage: Bacteria; Bacillati; Bacillota; Bacilli; Caryophanales; Bacillaceae.